RNAcentral lists this ribosomal RNA (404 nucleotides) under uncultured bacterium. RNAcentral describes it as "bacterial SSU rRNA". It matches the Rfam family "Bacterial small subunit ribosomal RNA", at positions 954 to 1362 of the family's 1533-position model. The record is from RNAcentral.
GCACAACGCGAAGAACCUUACCUACCCUCGACAUGUCUGGAAUACCGAAGAGAUUUGGCAGUGCUCGCAAGAGAACCGGAACACAGGUGCUGCAUGGCUGUCGUCAGCUCGUGUCGUGAGAUGUUGGGUUAAGUCCCGCAACGAGCGCAACCCUUGUCAUUAGUUGCUACGAAAGGGCACUCUAAUGAGACUGCCGGUGACAAUCCGGAGGAAGGUGGGGAUGACGUCAAGUCCUCAUGGCCCUUAUGGGUAGGGCUUCACACGUCAUACAAUGGUCGGGACAGAGGGUCGCCAACCCGCGAGGGGGAGCCAAUCCCAGAAACCCGAUCGUAGUCCGGAUCGCAGUCUGCAACUCGACUGCGUGAAGUCGGAAUCGCUAGUAAUCGCGGAUCAGCAUGUCGCGG